GACGAACGCUGGCGGCGUGCUUAACACAUGCAAGUCGAGCGGUAAGGCCCUUUCGGGGGUACACGAGCGGCGAACGGGUGAGUAACACGUGGGUGACCUGCCCUUAGCUCUGGGAUAAGCCUGGGAAACUGGGUCUAAUACCGGAUAUGACUCCAUAACGCAUGUUGUGGGGUGGAAAGCCUUGUGCGGCUAGGGAUGGGCCCGCGGCCUAUCAGCUUGUUGGUGGGGUGAUGGCCACCAAGGCGACGACGGUAGCCGGCCUGAGAGGGCGACCGGCCACACUGGGACUGAGACACGGCCCACGACUCCUACGGGAGGCAGCAGGUGGGGAAUCUUGCGCAAGUGGGCGAAAGCCUGACGCAGCGACGCCGCGU
This 374-nucleotide ribosomal RNA is filed under the name uncultured bacterium. RNAcentral's name for it is "bacterial SSU rRNA". It matches the Rfam family "Bacterial small subunit ribosomal RNA", at positions 28 to 402 of the family's 1533-position model. The record is from RNAcentral.